CACUGGAAAGAACAUCCACUGAGUACCAAAGGAUGAGACUUUUCUGCUGAUGGAACUUCUAAGUCUGCAUCAGGCUGCUUUUGAUUCUGAAAUGACAGUGUUAUUUGGUAGAAAGUUUCCAACCUUUGAAAAAGUGGUAUUUUAAAUAUAAGGAAUAGAGGUUAUACCUGGUUCUGAUAAAGUGGGUUUGCGUGGGCUGCACAAUUUGAGCACCAGUUCCUAUGUGUCAUUGAGGAAUGAGAUCACAGUAGCAAGGAAAAAGCCAUCAGAGGAUGUCUCAGUCAUCUUUUGCUUUAUUCUGACAAGCAAGAAAGUUGCUGCAUUAAAAAAAAAUCCUCCCCAAUGAAAGAGAAGAUAAAGAAGAAAAGAGGAAAAGAGAAGAGGGACAAAGAGAAUCACUUCCAGGUCAGUAAUAGUUAAGAGCAAAGGCAUUCAAGUCCCUGUUAAGUCAUAUGUUAGGACUUGUAGAUUAUUGACAAAAAGAAUCAUGGAUUGUCCUUAGUUAAAUAUAUUCUUAGAGCUAGUUACAUAAUUCAAGGUGUCCACCAGAAUUGUAGUAAGACACAUAUAAUGUUAUAAGAACAG
Molecule: long non-coding RNA, 585 nt
Filed under: Felis catus (domestic cat)
Lineage: Eukaryota; Metazoa; Chordata; Mammalia; Carnivora; Felidae
Description: lncRNA (ENSFCAG00000046338.2)
Source: RNAcentral